GAGGCUAUAGCUCAGUGGUAGAGCGCAUGCUUAGCAUGCAUGAGGUCCUGGAUUCAAUCCCCAGUAUCUCCA
RNAcentral lists this transfer RNA (72 nucleotides) under Camelus bactrianus (Bactrian camel). It matches the Rfam family "tRNA". Rfam says of the family: Transfer RNA (tRNA) molecules are approximately 80 nucleotides in length. Lineage: Eukaryota; Metazoa; Chordata; Mammalia; Artiodactyla; Camelidae. RNAcentral also lists the same sequence under 2 other names. The record is from Rfam by way of RNAcentral.